Molecule: ribosomal RNA, 1554 nt
Filed under: Escherichia coli
Lineage: Bacteria; Pseudomonadati; Pseudomonadota; Gammaproteobacteria; Enterobacterales; Enterobacteriaceae
Description: bacterial SSU rRNA
Rfam family: Bacterial small subunit ribosomal RNA
Source: RNAcentral
AAAUUGAAGAGUUUGAUCAUGGCUCAGAUUGAACGCUGGCGGCAGGCCUAACACAUGCAAGUCGAACGGUAACAGAAAGCAGCUUGCUGCUUUGCUGACGAGUGGCGGACGGGUGAGUAAUGUCUGGGAAACUGCCUGAUGGAGGGGGAUAACUACUGGAAACGGUAGCUAAUACCGCAUAACGUCGCAAGACCAAAGAGGGGGACCUUCGGGCCUCUUGCCAUCGGAUGUGCCCAGAUGGGAUUAGCUAGUAGGUGGGGUAAAGGCUCACCUAGGCGACGAUCCCUAGCUGGUCUGAGAGGAUGACCAGCCACACUGGAACUGAGACACGGUCCAGACUCCUACGGGAGGCAGCAGUGGGGAAUAUUGCACAAUGGGCGCAAGCCUGAUGCAGCCAUGCCGCGUGUAUGAAGAAGGCCUUCGGGUUGUAAAGUACUUUCAGCGGGGAGGAAGGGAGUAAAGUUAAUACCUUUGCUCAUUGACGUUACCCGCAGAAGAAGCACCGGCUAACUCCGUGCCAGCAGCCGCGGUAAUACGGAGGGUGCAAGCGUUAAUCGGAAUUACUGGGCGUAAAGCGCACGCAGGCGGUUUGUUAAGUCAGAUGUGAAAUCCCCGGGCUCAACCUGGGAACUGCAUCUGAUACUGGCAAGCUUGAGUCUCGUAGAGGGGGGUAGAAUUCCAGGUGUAGCGGUGAAAUGCGUAGAGAUCUGGAGGAAUACCGGUGGCGAAGGCGGCCCCCUGGACGAAGACUGACGCUCAGGUGCGAAAGCGUGGGGAGCAAACAGGAUUAGAUACCCUGGUAGUCCACGCCGUAAACGAUGUCGACUUGGAGGUUGUGCCCUUGAGGCGUGGCUUCCGGAGCUAACGCGUUAAGUCGACCGCCUGGGGAGUACGGCCGCAAGGUUAAAACUCAAAUGAAUUGACGGGGGCCCGCACAAGCGGUGGAGCAUGUGGUUUAAUUCGAUGCAACGCGAAGAACCUUACCUGGUCUUGACAUCCACGGAAGUUUUCAGAGAUGAGAAUGUGCCUUCGGGAACCGUGAGACAGGUGCUGCAUGGCUGUCGUCAGCUCGUGUUGUGAAAUGUUGGGUUAAGUCCCGCAACGAGCGCAACCCUUAUCCUUUGUUGCCAGCGGUCCGGCCGGGAACUCAAAGGAGACUGCCAGUGAUAAACCGGAGGAAGGUGGGGAUGACGUCAAGUCAUCAUGGCCCUUACGACCAGGGCUACACACGUGCUACAAUGGCGCAUACAAAGAGAAGCGACCUCGCGAGAGCAAGCGGACCUCAUAAAGUGCGUCGUAGUCCGGAUUGGAGUCUGCAACUCGACUCCAUGAAGUCGGAAUCGCUAGUAAUCGUGGAUCAGAAUGCCACGGUGAAUACGUUCCCGGGCCUUGUACACACCGCCCGUCACACCAUGGGAGUGGGUUGCAAAAGAAGUAGGUAGCUUAACCUUCGGGAGGGCGCUUACCACUUUGUGAUUCAUGACUGGGGUGAAGUCGUAACAAGGUAACCGUAGGGGAACCUGCGGUUGGAUCACCUCCUUACCUUAAAGAAGC